CCGAGUGUGGCGCAGUUUGGUAGCGCACGUGCUUUGGGAGCAUGGGGUCGCAGGUUCAAAUCCUGUCACUCGGACUA
Molecule: transfer RNA, 77 nt
Filed under: Synechococcus phage S-CBM2
Lineage: Duplodnaviria; Heunggongvirae; Uroviricota; Caudoviricetes; Pantevenvirales; Kyanoviridae
Description: tRNA-Pro
Rfam family: tRNA
About the family: Transfer RNA (tRNA) molecules are approximately 80 nucleotides in length. Their secondary structure includes four short double-helical elements and three loops (D, anti-codon, and T loops).
Source: RNAcentral